RNAcentral lists this ribosomal RNA (424 nucleotides) under uncultured cyanobacterium. RNAcentral describes it as "bacterial SSU rRNA". It matches the Rfam family "Bacterial small subunit ribosomal RNA", at positions 356 to 795 of the family's 1533-position model. Lineage: Bacteria; Bacillati; Cyanobacteriota. The record is from RNAcentral.
GGGGAAUUUUCCGCAAUGGGCGAAAGCCUGACGGAGCAAUACCGCGUGAGGGAGGAAGGCUCUUGGGUUGUAAACCUCUUUUCUCAGGGAAUAAGAACUGAAGGUACCUGAGGAAUCAGCAUCGGCUAACUCCGUGCCAGCAGCCGCGGUAAUACGGAGGAUGCAAGCGUUAUCCGGAAUGAUUGGGCGUAAAGCGUCCGCAGGUGGUUUAUCAAGUCUGCUGUCAAAGAGUUUGGCUCAACCAAAUAAAGGCAGUGGAAACUGACAGACUGGAGUGCGGUAAGGGCAGAGGGAAUUCCUGGUGUAGCGGUGAAAUGCGUAGAGAUCAGGAGGAACACCGGUGGCGAAAGCGCUCUGCUGGGCCGUAACUGACACUGAGGGACGAAAGCUAGGGGAGCGAAUGGGAUUAGAUACCCCAGUAGUC